UUGCCUUAUGAACAACCCCUCCCUCCCUCUUGAAGCUUAUCCCCUCCCCUGCCUCCGCAAUACCAGAUUACUUCAAAUUACAGAAGAUAAUCCAUCUCUCAGCAGCAGCAGCUGCUGGAGGAGGAAGGAAAGGAGAAUUUAAGGGGGAGAAAGAGAGAGACUCGUUUACGUGCCCCUUCCUCUAUUCUUCUCUACAAACACAUUCUCUCACAUCUUCUUCAUUUUCCCAGAAACAAGUUCAGUAAACCAUUCUUUUAUCUCUCUACUAACUAGCUUCUCUGCAAAUAUUUCUCUGUAAUUUUUUUUUACCAGAUUUGGCGGCGCAAUGCUUCCUCCCCUUGCUUUUCAGCUCAGAUAUCAAGUAAAAUCAGGUUUCUUGUUCACUUCGGGUACUCCCUCCACCCAUUACUGCUCUCUCUCCUUUUAAUUUCUACUUUUUUUUAUUUUAGGUAUUCGCAUUAACAUCUACAUUGCCUCUUUUAUUAAUACUGUGCUUCAUACCCCCUAAUAAAUACCUUUUCUUUCUCUAAUUUCCUUUCCCGCAAAAUGUGAAACUACUAUGAUUAAAAAACUCUUUUUUUGUUUGUUUUUUAAUCAUAAUAUUGUUUGUUUGUUUUUGUAUCAUAAUUAAUACAAAACAAACAAUAUUAUGAUUAAAAAACUCUUUUUUUGCCACAUUAGUUUCCUAAGGCCCCACACAAGUUGCCACGUCAGCAAUUUCUGACGUGGAAUGUUCAAUUUUUUGCAAUUGGAAAAAAUUAACAGUUUAAUCAUCUAAUUGACAAAAUUGAAAGGUGGAUCACCGAAGUGGAAUAUGGCCUAUAGUUUAGGGUACUAAUUCAUAUUUAAGCCUAAUUAAAAGGAUGGAUUAUAAACCAUAUUGUUACGUUCGGUUUGAAUCCAGAGAAUGAAAUAGACGAAGGGAUAAAAUAAAAUUAGUAUAUUUGAUGAUUAUUUCAGAACAUAAAUCAUUCAAAUGGAAUGAAAAUUCAUUCUAUUCUUUUGUUUUUUAUUCUAUGUGGUGAAGGUGAAAUAAAAUCUGUUUUAAUGAAAUGAAUAUAUAUAUAUAUAUAUGGCUAUAUGUAUAUACACAGCUGUGUAUUACACAGUGACGACGAGUUUUUUGGGCUAUGACGACGGUUUACCUGUCGCUGUAGCCCAGAAUAUCUAUGAUGACGGGUGAACCCGUCGCCAUAGCCAAAAAUAUCGUUGCCACAGCCGAUUGUGCACAUACAUUUUCCCAUAUAUAUAUAUAUAUAUGAUAAUUUUGCCAUUAUAUAACAACACCCACCACCGCCAACAAUCAAAAUACACUUAAAAUGCUUUAAAAUCAUUUAAUUCCGUCCUUUCAUUCUAUUCGUUGGUUGAUGUAAAAUUAAAAACGUCUUGUGUUUUUGAUGGAAAUGGACCAAGUGGUUAGCAUGAAGUUAACUUUAGUAAAUUGACCAAUACAGUGUCGAUACGCAGACCAACUUGUCAUGAACUUAACUUCACGAUAACCCGAAUUAUAAUUAUAAGUGCGGAGGCUGAAUUGAUUGGUUUGACUUGCGUAUAUGAGCGGCUCCAGCACGAGUCUCAUUAGGGGGCAUCAUCCAAUUGUUAUUAUGGUAGACUAGAGGAUAUUCUUCCUUAAUUGCUACUUCUUUUGCACAUUCUUCUUCAUGUAGAAUUUGGAGGAGUUGUUUAUGAAGUCUUUCCGUACGCGUUAGAAUAAUUUGUCUUGCUGCCGAUCUCUUCUUUUUCGGAAACUUAAAGUUCCAUUCAAAAUUCUCAUCAGCUGAACAACCUGUAAUUGCAAAUAUAAUUAUGUUUAAUCAUCUAUUAAUUUUCUUAUAUUUCAAUAUAAUUAAAUAUAUUUCAUGAAUUGAAUAUUUUAUGAGAGGAUAAUCAUAUAAAUUGUGAAUGUUUUAUGUCGACUAUUUGAUUGUCAGAUAUGUGGAUAAGUAUUAUUGAUAAUUGUUGCGGAGAGAUGCCUAAUAAGUGAGCUCACUCCUAUAAUUCCUACCAAUCCCGUAUCAAUAAAUUUCAAAAAAUGAAUAAAUUGUAUAAAUGAGGAAGCAAAUUUUAUUUGAAUACAAUUACAAAUUAUUACAGAUCUUAGUUAAAAAGAUUUGAACUUGCAUCUAAACUCCUUGUAUGGGAAUUUAAUAAGUAGGUGAUUCCAUUUCCAAAACACAUGAUUAUAAUAACAAUAUUCCAAAGUUCACUUCAUCAAAAUAGCUAUUCUACCCAUUACAAAAUAUAUAAUCAAUAACCUUUUGAAGCUAAUUAUAAAUACUUUUCAAAUUAAAAUCAAAAUGAUUUAAUUGAAUUUUAAACAAUACAAUUAUAAAUAUCUAAUUUGUACUAAUUAUAAAUUUAUUAUUUUAAUCAUAAUUUAAAAAUAUUUCAUAUUAAUGUUGGAAGGUCAAAUUUGAUAUUAUAUUUGGAAAGAAAGGAGAGAGUUUUUGUUUAAAUAUUUCAUAUUAAUGUUGAAAGGUCAAAAUAUAAAUAGGUGAAAUUUAAAUACACUCGUAUCCAAUUUUUAUGUCCGCAUAGAGUUUUUGUUUAAAUAAAGAGAACAAACUAAAUUAGAAAAUAGAUUUUCCACUUAAUUUACAGGUAUAUCAAACAUGUACUUAUAUAUUGUAUAGAUAAGUCAAAUAAAGAGAACUAACAAAAUGAGAGCUAUUAUAGCAAAAAAUAGGAAAUAAAAUGUUGUGCCAAACUCAAAUUUCACCCAUUUAAAGUAAAGAUAUCUACAUGUAUUAUGUAUAUGUAUAUACACACAUUAUUACUUACAGAUUACAGCUAUAUGCAGGAGUGUGAAACAUAACCCAGAAGCGGGUGGAAUUAUUUCUUUGGUUUGCCUAUUUUCUAAAUUUUUCGAUAUUAUGUGCUAAAAUUUGAGAUUAUUGCAUUUGCAUUUAGUUGCUGAUAUGCGGAAUAAUGUUUGCAAUUGAUUUGAUUGAUCUGAUAUUUGUGUUGUUAAUCGUGUUUAAUUGAAAAUUUUAGUGGGUUCUCGAUUGGAAAGUUUGUGUUUAGAUUAGAGCUAUUCACGUUUCUUAUAUCAACAGUAAGGAACUGGGUUAAUUUCUUAAUUUGAUUAUUUACUAUCUUCACUUUAAGUCUGUAUUUUGGUUUUGUUAAUAUUAUGAAUAGACACAAACAUGUAAGUAUGCAUGUAAAUGAUGAGGUGAUGAGAGAUUAGUCAGUAAUGGUGCAUAACUACUGCUAUACUAGCAAUUUAAGCUACAUAUUUUAUCACUGUUCAUGUAAAGGAGAAAUUGGUCACAUAAACAAGUGUGUUUGGUCAGAUUUAAGGGUUUAAUAAGAUUAAGGAUAUUAAGGCUUUGGAAGUGUGAAUUUUCCUUACAGAAUUUUUGGGAUCAAUGUCCUCCUUCGCAUUUGUUGCGGGACAGAGCUAUAUUUCUAGCAUCAUUGUUGCAGUUUUCAUCAGCUAUGGGUGUUUUUCAUGGUUUUUAAUUAACAUAGGGUUUAUCUUUCUUUUCCACUUUUUUCUUUAGGGUGGACUUCAUUUCCGCCCUACUGUUUUUAUUUAUUUUUUAUUAUUGUAUUUAUUUUGACCAUAGCUUUUAGACUAGCUAACAGCUAAGCCACUAAUCACACAGCUAAUAAAGUCGAUAGCUGGUAGCGAGUCGGUAGCAGCCAACUGUUGCUAUCGGGACUAUCUUACAUACUACAUUAGUUAAAGCAACCGUUAGUAUGUAUGCAUAAGAAGGUGAGCUAUUUGUGAGCCGCUAAAGCAAGCAUAGGUCUUUGUUAUAGGAGUGAAUAGAAGGAUGUUCUCUAGAGUGAGUGAACGGUAAAGAUUUCGCCUACAAUAGACUCCAACAACCGAUGUUUCAAUAUCGCUUUUUACAGCUGAUGUAGCCGGGCAACUGUUUACCAAAAACACAGGUCUCCACUAAGUUGUAAGACCAUGUAUGGGGGCUGACGCCUGAUUUUAAUCUUUCUUCUGUUGAAAUGCAUUUUCGAGCACUUGUAGUAAAAGGGUUAAAAAGUCUUCUUUUGAUCAAAAGGUAUAUUAAUUGAAGCUUUAUUUCCUUAUUGAAUUUUUGCACUUUCUCAUUGGUGCUUUAUAGGAGUAGAUGGUCUUGAGUAACGGUCUGUAGGAUAUCAAGAAAGCUUGAUUAUGACUGAAGACUGAAAGAUAUAUAUCCUAUCUAAAGUUUGGAUGAACCUUAGGAAGGUGCAUGCUGACUAAACACUAAACUUAGCUGAUGAGUGAUAAUAGUAUAGUUUUUUUGACAUACUAAUAAACAAUUCAUCGGUUAAGAGUGGAUAACUACUUGGGACUAUUUUUGUAGAAUUUUGGAUUCUAUUGCCCUGAUGAACUAGAAAGAUAAGAUUUGGUACCCUUGUAUACAAUAAUACAGUUUUGCAUAAUCAGGUGGAAAUGGUUGCGGACAAGUUUCUCUAGUUGCUUUUUGUGUAGUGUACUCAGAACUCUCAAAGCUUCACGUCCUUGGUCUUUCAGUUGAUCCAUAAGGAUUAAACUUAUUAUUUGACAUAUAAAAUAAAUUUAUUAUGUGGUUCUCAGGGUUUGUUCUGUAAAAAAUUUGGUUUAUGCUCUUUAAGAUCACGGUUGUUGAAGAUAAAUGUGAACUAACGAUACGAUACGAAACACUAUGGAACAACACAUACAAGGUUUAUGUGUGUGUUUGUUGUUUAUACACAGUGUAGCAUCUGGUUCACUAAAUUUACAGAAGGGUAGUAUCUGUUGUUCGUAAAUUUUAUUGUACCAAAAAAACACAAAAAACUGGUGAUAACAUUCUAAUUAAAAUUUUUGCUAUAUAAUUCUUAGUUGAAAGACAUAAAAAACUAACAUAUCAAACUUCUUCGCGAACCUUCUAAUAAUAUACUGCAGCAUUUUGGUUAUUAAAUAUGCUUUCUGCCAAUAAAUUGACCACUGAUGAAAUUUAAUCUAACUAACAAUUUCAUUCUUAUAAUCUGAAAGUAUUUUAAUUGCAUUAGUAGCUGGUUUUAAGAGUUUCUUACCAACAACAUUUUCCAUAUGCGUGCAGUUCCUUGAGGACGAUACCGUGGAUCCUGAAGUGCAUUUGUUGUUUGAAUGAUCUUCGCAGCAAGUUGAACAGUUAUGAGAUUUCGCUACUUUCCCUCUUAAAUUUGAUUUUAUGUAGGGAAUAGUUGGCUUGUCGCUAAGAGGUAAAUGUUUUAGUUUACUGCUUUGAGUAUAUGCAUGUUUCGGAGUAUAGGCAGCAAGAGUUCCUCUUAUUCUCCACCUUGAUCCACAUGCAUUGCACAACACUGGCUUUUCAGGCGGUCCAAUUCUCCAAAGUGGCGUGUCUGUUCCAAUUUAGGUACAAAAAUAAUCAAAAUAAAGUUCAAGACACUGAUAGGAAAAAACACAUUGUGUCAAUAGAGUAUAUGAUCUUAAAAAAACUGCAAAAUAUUUUUCUUUUGAGUAAAUUAGAGACCCAAAGUCCCUUUGAAGUAAUCAAGUGCACAAAUAUUUUAAUUCAUAAUCAGUGCAUGACAAAUUUAAACUCAUGCUCUUCUGUGGUACAUCAUCGUGCCUAUCCAACCAGCUGUAAUUUUAAAAACAUUUUCAUGUAGGUAAUUGAUCCGAACUCUGUUAACGUUGUAGUCAAAUUAGGUUUUGUACAUAAAUACAACACAAUCUAGUUUAUAAAAAUCUAUAUAGCUCCUUUGUCGUUGUAACAUGAAACAAGAAUGCAGUUGAGGUUCUUCAUUUGAACCUAAUCAUGAUAAUUCUUAGUGAUUCCGCUAAAUACUUAACUGGAGAAUUUACAUUUAAGCCAAUAUAUAGUGACACAUUACUUUUUAAUGGAUUUAUGUACAAACCUUCUAUUUGCUUUCAGUAAUCAGGCCUCAAAGGCAUUGCUAGGAUCAGAUGAGGCGGUGCCCUACUAAUACAUGGGUUUAAGGCACUCUUGUUGUACUGUGUUAAUUCUUAUUGACUUGCUGUUUUUCCUCAUGUUCUGGUAAGUUGAGUUGUAUUUCAUUACUAUGCAUAAAAAAACAAUGAAAGUAGUACGCCUCACUUGUAUUUCUUUUUUGUUUUCCAUUCUAAUCUUUUUAUUUAUCUUUUUUCCUUUUUGAGAGUUUUAAUAGCCUAGCAUGAAAAGAAUAUAUUUUUUUGGUGGGGUGGGGGUUGAAUAUUUUUUUAUUUAAAACUCAAUACUUCGUACUUAAAUAGAACUGUAGGCAUUGGUUUUUGUAACUUUGGAACACCUAAAUCUAAAUAUGAUACAAUGGUCCCACAUUUAGAACAUUUGGAAUGAAUUGGAGUUUAUAUGAGGUCUCAAUUUGCUUUCUAAAGUAAUUAUAACUUGUUAUGACUUUUGGGUAGUCCUAUGGUGGGCGAAGAUGGCCCACCUAGUGCUUUUGGAUAGUACAUUAAGCUUAUUCUGGGCUCAAGUCAGAUCCGCGUCGUUAAAAAUGAUAUUAGAGCAGUUUUCCCUCGCGAUGUGGUUACUUCCUAAUGUACUAAUAACCAAGAUGACCAAAUUGGUGCUCUUGGACAGUGGAUUAAGUCUUAUUAUGGGCUCGUGCCGAACUAGAGUCGUUACAAAUGAUAUCAGAGCAAUAGCUCCUUGUGGUGUGGUGGGUAUGGAACCCAUCAAGAUUGUGAUUCUAUAUUGAUUGUAGAUUGACCUGUAACUUUGGGCCUGACGGUCGGUCCUCCAUUCAUCCGACCGGAGGUGUGGAUAACUAGGCCACCUUCACAACCUUCUCCCUUUUGCCCCUAUGUUGUAGUAAGGUAAGGCGGUUAUCGCUUGAGUUGCUCAACUGCAACUGGUACCAAAACCAUGAAAUUUUCUUUCUUGAAAGUAGUUCUAUAAGUGCUUUUUCUACACGAGGAUGUUAGGGAUUUAAAUGGGGGAUUGUGAUUCUAGACGUAAUUGUGAAUUGGCUUGUAAUUGUGGGCUUGACAAGGACGUUAGAGAUUUAAGUUGGGGAGAUUGAUUUGCCCUUGCCCCAUAUCAAAACAUGUGUGAUGAAUCAGAUUAUACAUAAUGUUCUAACUCUACUUUUUAGAGUACCAGUAGUUUAAUUACUUUCAUGACUUUGUGUGGGCUUGUUGUGGACUAAGAUGAACCAACCAACUAAUGCUAUUGGGCAAUGGAUUGAGUUUUGGAUUUGGACUUGGAACGUUACACCAAACAUAAUCCAUGUUCAUCCUCCAAGUACAUUAUGUAACUUUUCUUAUUAGUUCGUGAAACUAACUAUGUUGAUUGGAUUCCUAUGUUUCCGUGGUAUUCAAAACUCAGAUAUCUUCCAUUGAUUAAAGAUACACGAAUAUGGCAUGGCAAGAUUAAAAUUCAAAUUAUUAAAGGAAAAGUUGGAAGCAUAGAUAUGGAAAGAAACACUUAAAAGUAUAGAUUCCUUACUCUUUUUGAAUAAGUUUCCAAGUAAAUUAGAAUUAUUUUGAAGGAUUUUAAGCGAUGUUAUUUUUAACUAAAUUAGGAGAAUUUAGAGAGGAUAGAGAUAAACUUAGACAGGGAAAUAGAGAGUGAGAUCAUAAAUUUAGAGAGAAGAAAAAGAUAGUUGUUAAAGAGCAAGAAAAUAAGCUUUAAAAUCCAAAUUCAACAUAUGUUUGAAUGAUACGAUCUCAAGAAUAUAAAGACUAAUCUAGUUUACAAGAGAAAGCAAUUCUAACUUCUAAAAAAUUGAAUUGAUGCCACUAACUACCUACCACGACUAUAGUAGCAAGCCCAAUGUCAUGACGGCUGUAUGCAUUUUUACAUAUUAUGGGAUAGAGCGUCUCCCCAUGCAUUUCUUUGGCAUUUAGUGAUGGGUGUUUUCGUGGGGUUUAUGUUUUGGAUUUUCACCAAGAAAUUGGGUGGUCCUUCAUUGAUGAAUUUAUUGUUUUCUUUGGAGUACCUCUUGUCCUCACUUUUAACUUAAAAAUAUCUUUAUUUUCUACAUAUUAUUCUUCUUUUAUCUAUCUAAAAGAAAUGAAGUUAUCGUAUAGUAUUUUUAUUGGAAACCUCUUUGAUGACUAUGGAGACAAAUGUAAAGGGACAUAGCAUGUUUCUCUUUAUCACUGGAUUUGAGUUGAUGUGUGUCAUGUUGGAAACAUUUUAAACCCAGUUUGGCCAAGAUUGCAAUGCGUUGAAUUGGUAAUUAAGCUGGUCAUAGCAAGCUAUGUUGAGUUAGGUUGUUUAUAGAGGCCAAAGAAUUGGGUAUGGGUUCAGUUAGAGUCAUGUAGUAGUCCUAUUGGUUGUCCUUAGACUGUGAAUAGUCUUAGAAAAGUAACUGUUUUUUUGACAAGUUUUGGUGUUCCUGGGGUAUAAACAAUAUUGGAGGAAAAAACAGGUUUUGAAAAUUAGAGUUUUUAGGUUGAAACGGGUAAUAUAUCAAAUAACUUUGCGGUUGGGUUGAAAGAAGACAAUAGAAACAAAGGACCCAAAGGAAGUGACAAAGAAGAUAGGAUUUAGAACUCCAUUAGGUCACAAUAAGCAUCACAAGAAUUCUCCAAAUUUAAAUUUUCUCAAAUUUUCUCCAAGAAUUAAAAGACUACAUUAUAGGACGUGAGAUCUGUCUCUGUUUUAUUUUCUAUUUUUUAAUUUAAUUUUUAAUUAUUUGGUUAAGUAGCAUUUGUGAACGACUUAUCAAAAAGAAAAAGAAAACAUGAGUGGCAUUUAUAAAUUAUUCGAAAGAGGGUGGAUCCUAGAUAGUAGAUACACUGCAGAGAAACAAGUCAAGCAUAAGAAUAUAGUCUGUAUGCAUAGGGGCGUUAAUCCUCUCCUCAACCAACUAUGCUAUGCAUCUAUCCCAGCGAACAAAAAGGAAAUUACCUUGGUGCAAACUCAUAUAAGAAUCCAAAACUGAAACAAUGCAUAUAAAGAUCAUGAUGAACCCAAAAAAUUUAUAUUUAACAUCAAAAGACUUCAUAUAUUGUGAACUCUACGUUCUUUAAACAUCAUUUACUCCUCCCUCAAAAUUAACCACAUUAAGCAGGGUUUGCAUUUUAUUUCUAAUAUUGAUCGGAACACCUUGCAACUGGGCAUGAACCCUUUAGUUGAAUUAAAAUUACCCCACUCACAUCGAAAAUUGAUGCUCUCCUCAACCUUCAUACGCACUACACGUAGAAAGAAUUUUCCACUUCUCCUCAAGUAAUCAAAUGGUAUAAGAAUGACUCGUAACUCACCCGAGCAUGCAAGCACAACAACUUUAUAAGUGCUAUUAAUUCCUAAACAACAUGAAGUAAAAUUCGUUGACACCCUUUCUAUCGAUAGUUUAAGGGUAGUCUUGCUGAAAACUUCCCUCGACAUGCCUACUCACCCUAAAGAAUCUGCUGGUAUCUCGGUGUAAAAAGUAUCAAUUAAAUAUAGGACUUGAACAAUAAUGUUAGAGAUAUAAAGACAAUAUCUAGUGUCAAACCGUAUAACCUUUAGGUCUAAUUCAAUGAAAUACUUUGUUUGAUAUCACACUUAUAACAGCCCACUUAACAUCCUCAACAAAGAUUGACCGUUUUUGACAUUUCUCCAACUAAAAGAUUCUCUUUAUUCUUCAUCAAAUAUUUACUUUCAAAAGAAAAUAAUAAUUUAUAGAAACUACACUAAAAUUCAGUUAUAUGUUAGAAAACUUGGCAAAAAAUUGAAAAGGUUAGAAUCCCGGUGUCUCUCUAUAUAUAUACACUCACACAAACACACAUAUAUGUGUGUGCUUGUGUUUGUAAUGGGUGGCGUCUUUCAAGCUUAUUAAUUUUUUCAAAUUAUAGAAAGAUUUUCACGUUGGAAGUUAUAUAUGAAGAUUUUAGGUUUGGAGUUAGAUUCUAUACAAGUCAAGGAUGAUUUGGUAAGUGAAGGAGGAGAUGAAAGACCAAAUGCACUUACUUCCCUUAUUAGGGUGGUUCUUUGGCUCUCAGCCAAAAGAUUCAUCUCUUGUAAAUAUAGAUUGGGGUAUUUAUACAUGUAUGUGAACAAUUUGGUAGCUAAUGAAAGAUAUAUCUCAAGAAUGACACUUCUCAUGUUAUUUUUCCAUUCCUUCGUGAUAGUCUAUGUUGCCUACGUGGCGCCCACGUAAGUAUUGGAUAAAAUUUGUUGUCGAGAUAUUUAUGACUUGUUGUCUCGAAUUCUAGUUCAUGAUAUGACAUUUGAUCCAACUCAAAUAAUAUUUUGCAGUGGCCCGAAAUAAAAGAAAGAUGAGAUUUAGUAGUGGUAGCAGAGGACAGAGGCUGAUAGGCCAAAAUCCAGAGCCCACCACUAAUCCCCGUGGUAUGUACCUAUUAAGUUAUUUUGGCCCAACUAUAUAUAUGUUAUUCUAGUUAGGGUUUUUGUGUUCUUUUUUUUCUCAGAUUUGUAGCCUCCUUUGGAGAAGAGAAACAGUUUGGUUGUAUUCGGUUUUUUGGGAUGUGAAAGUUCUCUUCAAAGAUGUAUUCUUCACACUUUGAUAUAGUAUCUUCCUCUCGCCCAUGGUUUUUACUCGAUUUGGGUUUUCCAUGUAAAUUUUAUGUUCUUUACUUUAAUUUUUCGUUGAGUUAUGUGUUUGGUCAUAGUUUGUUUUAACAUGACCAUAUAGGGGAAUCCAAUAUUAAGAUUUGUAACAUAGACAAUAAGAUCCAUAAAAAACAAAAUCCUAGCCAAUCGUAAGAAACGUGUUUCUUAAUUGGGUUAACAAUAUUUCAAAAAUAGCAAUGCCCGCGAAAUCCAAAAGUAGAUGGUAGGUUUAUAGAAGACAAUCAAUAACUGAGAACCAAUAAAUCAAAUCUUAUUCAGUGCUAUAAAAUCUUCAACACUUAAAAUAUCCAUUCAAUGGACAAGAUUGAGUUAAAGAUAAACUUAUAUUAAUAAAAUAAAAUUGAGUUAAAAAAGAAUUAACUAAUAUGAAGAUGAAGUACCGAGUUGAGAGAGUACUCACGUUUAAUCCCACAAUGGAAACACGGUCCUUCUCUGCCCAUGAGAAUUGAUUUUUCUUUAAAAUCUAUUUCUGAAGUGCCUCAACUUAUCUUUAACUCCUCAAUGGACAGAUUCAGAAAUACUACAAGAAAUUCAAGAAUUAGGUGCAUUCAUAAUAAAGAUCUAAUUUUAAAAUAGUUAACAAUUGUGAAAUCACAUGGAAAAAGUAAAAAGAAACAACAGUUCAAAAGCUAAAAAUUUUGAGUCAUUCCAUUAUGAUAUGAAAGGAGAACAAAAAAAUAGUUCAACAAAGCGUUGUUAUGUGUAGAAGAAUUUGAUUAAAAAUCACACACACACACACACACACACACACACACACACAUAUAUAUAUAUAUGAUUCGAUAACAACAAUAAUUUCCUUUCCCAAACAAGUUGGAGUGUGCUAAAAAUGAAUCUCAUAUGUAAGCGUAAAAGCAAGAAGAAAAUAAAAGGUAAAAGCAUUUAAAAGGAAAAGAAUAAAAUAAAUAAUUAGGAAAAUGAAAGAAUAGAAAUAAAUGGAGAUAAGUAAAAUAACAAAAUGGUAACAUAUAGAAAAAAGCCGUAUAUAAAGUUAAAAGGAAAACAAAGAGAAAAAUGAAGGAAAAAAGGGGGGAAUAGAGAAAGUGAGAAACAAUACACACACAAAAAGGUGGAACACCUUAUUCGACCUCAGAGAUGCAGAUUACAUUCCUCCUCUCUCCCCUAUCACACUAGACAUGUCCUUAGUUAUAUUUUGCUCCUCCAAGUCUCUUUGUACAAUUUUUCCCCAAGUAAUUUUGAUAAAAGAAUAAAAUAAAUAAAUGAAAAUAAGAGUAGAAUAUAUAUUAUUGAUAAGUAAUAAAAAAACAUAUUCAUUAUGUAAAAAUAACUUUCAUUCUAUAUUGGUACCUUUAGGCUUCUAGUCUUGCUUUUGAUCCUGUGUUUGCUGAAAAGGUGCUAGGUACAGGAAGAACAGAAAAAGUCACCCUUAUAUACAUAUAGAGGAGUUUCUUCAAACAGAAUUCGGGAGACAGCUAUUCUCAUCGACACCAUUAAAGUAGACUUUAACGAGAUCUACAAGCAAAUUCUGAGGAAAACACUUGGGAUUCAGAAGACAUAGAUGAUAGAACAGGUGGAUAAAUUAAUUUGAUUUUGUUUUUUUCUGUUGACUUGCGCUUUUAUCUCUCUAUUAUUAGUUUCAAAAAACUUCAAAAAAUCUCACCAGUCCCAAAAUUCGAGUACUGAUUUUGAAACUUGGCAAGUGCACUCGGACAUUUUUAUGUAAUCCUAGGACUUGCACAAUUAAUUCGAUAUCUAGCCCAAUUAACACAAUACUACCUUGCUCUCGCAUUGAUGAUUUCUCUUAUACUAUUUAGGUACCACUCAUAAUGACUCUCGGAUAAAAGGCUUGUUAAUUUUUAGGUGUGCUUAUUUACAUUUCCAGAUUUAAUUUUGCUUGUACUUAUAUUUUCCUUUACUUUUCCAUUAAAAACUUUCUUAAUGUGACAAUAUUUGCAUACAUGAAUUAAUGUGAAUGAUAUUUUUGUGACUUUGUUAGGAAUCUCAUUUAUUGUGUUCAAAUUUGCUAUGAAUUCAGGUGAGUUUUUUUUUCUUCUUGGACAAUUUCAAUUGAAAAUUUUAUUUAUUCUGUUUACAUAUGCAUUAAUUGCAUAAUAGAUUAGUUUGCGAAGUUUUUCUCAGGUUGAAAUGGAACCUUGUGGGGGAGCUUAUGUUAAUUACUUUAAUAACUUAAUUUAUUGCUAUGGUUCCAUUCUUUAUUAUGCAUUUCUGAUACAUCAGGAAAUACAUGAUUAGUAUUUAGAGAGGACAAUAAGAUUUUAUUGGUAGAGGGAACACGACUAGAGAAUAUAAAUAUAUACAUUAACAAGAGAUCAGCAUUUCAUUCUUUCAGCUCCUUAAAGUGUGCAUGUAAUAGUAACAUCCCCAAAUUGAGUGUGAUGCCUUUUCUUGAGGAUCAUAUUGUUUGUCAUUUUUACAAAACCAGUGAAAUGAAUGGAGCUAAAAUCUCUAUAUUAAUUUAAGUAUCGCUUUAAAAUGACACUUUUUCUCUUUUAUCAUUUCCGCUUCAGUGUAGCAACCACAUCUUGGUUGAAAAAUCAUUUUUUCUAGUAGACGAUACUUUUACAAGGAAAUAGCACUUCUAGUUCUUCCUAGUACAAGUUGCUUAUAUAUUAUGGUGCUCCAGUCAUCCAAAUAAGAGUCCAAUUUUUAAAGCAAAAUUUAUGAUAAAAGUUCUUAUAAUAAAAUAGCUUGAAUUUGACAUAAUCAACGACUUACAUCAAUACUAAAUUAUAGUGAGAUUUGGUACAUUAAUUGGACUCGUGUCCAUCUGCAUGCUAAGGGUUGAAUUGGGAGAAGGCUACUCUUUCUCUAGUAAAGAUACUUAGCUAUGAGGCGUAGGUAAUUUCAACUCGAGGUCUUGACAUAAAUCUAAACUGACCAACUUCACAGGAUUUUGCAAACCAUUAUUCAUUUGUAGUCCAAUUGUGUUUUAGGUGAAUAGAAACUGAUUUCAUGUACAUUGUAAUACAAUUUAUGUUUCCACCUUUAGGUGGUUUUUUCAUACUAGAACAAAAUAGGCUUAUUUUGAUUCCAGAAGCACUUGAUUAACUUAACAAAAACAUUUUGUUACCAAGAUUUUAAAGAAUUACCAAUUUGUGGCUUGUUUGUGAUAAAUAAGUAGUAUCUUUGUGACACUGAUGAAUUCUGUAUUAUUUUUGUGCUAGAGCUAAACAUAUUGUACCAAACAAACUCACUCUUAGGCUGGCAAAUGGUGGCCAAAGUCGAUUUGAUACUUUCUGCCGUUUUAUAGCAUGAGCCAGGUAUCAUAUUGAGGGCCUCUUGGUCUCAGAAAUUCUGUAUUCAUCUUUUGAAUUCAACCUGUUAGCACUGUCUAUGUGCCUCCAGAGUCUCUCAUUUCUGAUGCAAUUUUAUUGGGAUGCAGGGCAAACAGCAAUCUUGCGCCAUCUGCUGGCAGACAAUUUUCCAGCUGCAUUUUCCAUAUUUUUUUGUGUGUGAUUAUGGUAUUUUACCUUUUACACUUGCUAAGCUUAGACCGUAUUCAUAUGGGAUAUAUUGCCAUAUGCUUGAAACUGUCCUUUAAGAGAUAAUAUUGACAUGUUAUAAUGUACUACCUUCUUGAGAUAGACAGGCUUGUAGUUUUUGUAGUUUACGAUUAUUGAUACAAGUGUCGUGAAAUUCUUUUCCGUGAUAUCGCUUACCACGAAUAUUAAUAUAUUUUCUCAUCCCUGCAUAAUAUGCAGAGAAUGCUUCCAAAGCAUGCAGAUAUCCAGCCAAAAUGCAGAGAUAUUCUUGAACUUGCAAGCUGGAAAUGGAGUUGCCAAACAUCAAGCAACUGGGAUAAAGGAGAUGGCCAUGAGAUUGGUUUCUAUUGAGUAAGCUAUAUUCAUUGUUCUGAAAGAAUAUUGCUGAUAAUUGUGUGCCUUGAUAAUUUCUAUAGGUAGCAUGUAGCCUGUAAUUUGAAAUGAUUAUGUUCUAGUGAUAAUCUAGAUACAAGUCAACUCAUGUCUGCAAGAGGAUCUGUAGACUGGAUUAACUCAAACUUCUAAAUAAUCUUAUUUCUAUCUCAAUUUUGAUUUGUGAG
Molecule: long non-coding RNA, 14475 nt
Filed under: Panax ginseng (ginseng)
Lineage: Eukaryota; Viridiplantae; Streptophyta; Magnoliopsida; Apiales; Araliaceae
Description: long non-coding RNA (PGIN_LNC016584)
Source: RNAcentral